AAUUGGGAUGCAUUGAUGGUUGUACGGUUGUACCCAUUGCUUAAAGUUUUGUUUACGGAAAAGUAAUCUAGACUUUGAUGCCUGUACUCAUACUUGUGAACCAGAGCACACCCACCUUUGGUCGGUCCAGUACGACUUCUACCAUGGUGGUUUUGAAGCCAGAAUUCAUUGUGCCAUCGAUUUCUUCUCAUACACUUUUCAAACCCUGGGUUUAUUCACGCCAUUACAGCUCCGAUUAACCUUCACUGUUCCGAUCAUCGUCUCCAACUAAUGGAUGCAUCUGCAUCUGCAACAUCUUCAUCAAACUCGCGUAGAUACCCUCUUUGUUACUUCUGUUGCAAUUGUAUCAAACGGUGUUUCCGUUGUUUGUGCUCUUACGCUUAGGGUUAAAGAUUAGCUACUGCGGAUUAGCUACUGAAUGAUUGGCUCAUUUAUGUAUAUUUAGGGUGAUUUGGGCUACCGAGCGCUUUUUGCGGUCGCGGGCGGUGAGGUGACCUUUGGCCAUUGGGUUAACCAGGUAGCCGGGAAUUUAUUCAUUAACAUGGAGUGCUUUUAUGUAUUCAUAAAUUGCUAGAAGUAUGUUCGUUCUUAAAGUUAAUAAUGUUGUUGAUGCUUGGAUUGCUUUUUAAUGCAAUCUACAUGUAUCUACACUUUGAUUUCCACAUUACACAAUCACUAUACCCUUUGUAAUUCUAAUUGUAUUUUUUCACAACUACAAUUACAUGCAGAUGUAUAUGAAGGGGUAUGUCUCGAUGGUUUA
Molecule: long non-coding RNA, 760 nt
Organism: Helianthus annuus (common sunflower)
Lineage: Eukaryota; Viridiplantae; Streptophyta; Magnoliopsida; Asterales; Asteraceae
Exons: 2
Source: RefSeq, a predicted model, not a curated record